CACGUAGGCGGCCUACUAAGUCUAAUGUGAAAUCCCUCGGCUCAACCGGGGAACUGCAUUGGAUACUGGUAGGCUCGAGGAUGGCAGGGGUAAGUGGAACUCCAGGUGGAACGGUGAAAUGUGUAGAUAUCUGGAGGAACACCGGUGGCGAAAGCGGCUUACUGGGCCAUCUCUGACGCUGAGGUGCGAAAGCUAGGGUAGGCAAACG
RNAcentral lists this ribosomal RNA (208 nucleotides) under uncultured bacterium. Its description in RNAcentral is "partial 16S ribosomal RNA". It matches the Rfam family "Bacterial small subunit ribosomal RNA", at positions 568 to 775 of the family's 1533-position model. The record is from RNAcentral.